GACGAACGCUGGCGGCGUGCUUAACACAUGCAAGUCGAGCGGUAAGGCCCCUUCGGGGGUACACGAGCGGCGAACGGGUGAGUAACACGUGAGCAAUCUGCCCAUCACAUCGGGAUAACUCCGGGAAACCGAAGCUAAUACCGAAUACGACCACCUCCGGCAUCGGAUGGAGGUGGAAAGUCUCGGCGGCGUUGGAUGAGCUCGCGGCCUAUCAGCUUGUUGGUGGAGUAACGGCCCACCAAGGCUUCGACGGGUAGCCGGCCUGUGAGGGUGACCGGCCACACUGGGACUGAGAGACGGACCAGACGCCAACGGGAGGCAACAGUGGGAAAUAUUAGACAGUGAGCGAGAGCCUGAGACAGCAACGCCGCGUGUGGGAUGACGGCCUGCGGGUUGUGAACCGCUUUCGGCAGGGACGAAGCGCAAGUGACGGUACCUGCAGAAGAAGCACCGGCCAACUACGUG
Molecule: ribosomal RNA, 465 nt
Filed under: uncultured bacterium
Lineage: Bacteria
Description: partial 16S ribosomal RNA
Rfam family: Bacterial small subunit ribosomal RNA
Source: RNAcentral